Clostridium autoethanogenum DSM 10061 is the source of this 30-nucleotide non-coding RNA. The record is from Rfam. NCBI's taxonomy places the organism in Bacteria, Bacillati, Bacillota, Clostridia, Eubacteriales, Clostridiaceae.
AUUUAAAUACAUCUUAUGUUGAGGUUCAAC